ACCUGGGUGGCUUGGUCGGUUAAGCAUCUGACUUCGGCUCAGGUCAUGAUCUCACGGUCCGUGGGUUCAAGCCCCACGUCGGGCU
This 85-nucleotide transfer RNA is filed under the name Felis catus (domestic cat). It matches the Rfam family "tRNA". From Rfam's summary of the family: Transfer RNA (tRNA) molecules are approximately 80 nucleotides in length. Their secondary structure includes four short double-helical elements and three loops (D, anti-codon, and T loops). Lineage: Eukaryota; Metazoa; Chordata; Mammalia; Carnivora; Felidae. The record is from Rfam by way of RNAcentral.